RNAcentral lists this ribosomal RNA (356 nucleotides) under uncultured archaeon. RNAcentral's name for it is "bacterial SSU rRNA". It matches the Rfam family "Archaeal small subunit ribosomal RNA", at positions 513 to 869 of the family's 1478-position model. The record is from RNAcentral.
AAACGUCCGUAGCCGGUUUGGUACAUUCGUGGGUAAAUCAACCCGCUCAACGUCUUGAAUUCUGCGAGCACGGGCAGACUUGGGACCGGGAGAGGUGUGGGGUACUCUCAGGGUAGGGGUAAAAUCCUGUCAUCCUGAGAGGACCACCUGUUGCGAAGGCGCCACACUAGAACGGAUCCGACGGUCAGGGACGAAGCCUAGGGGCACGAACCGGAUUAAAUACCCGGGUAGUCCUAGGUGUAAACGCUGUGGACUUGAUGUUGGGAGUGCUCCGAGCACCCUCAGUGUCCAAGCGAAAGUGAUAAGUCCACUGCCUGGGGAGUACGGUCGCAAGGCUGAAACUUAAAGGAAUUGGC